UGUGACUUAAGAAUGGCUCUGUAAUUUCUGUUUGGAGAGCCUUUACACGAUGCCUAAACUAAAAGUCAUUUUAUCAAAUUCUGAUUGAAUGACAGCGGCAGACAACCGUAAGGAUGGAUCCACAAACGAGUGGCUCAGAAUGCUGCUUGUUUACUGACUUCAUCCUACAUGC
Nymphaea colorata (pocket water lily) is the source of this 172-nucleotide small nucleolar RNA. RefSeq annotates it as small nucleolar RNA snoR143. The transcript has a single exon. The record is from RefSeq and is a predicted model, not a curated record. Lineage: Eukaryota; Viridiplantae; Streptophyta; Magnoliopsida; Nymphaeales; Nymphaeaceae.